RNAcentral lists this long non-coding RNA (1733 nucleotides) under Lathyrus oleraceus (garden pea). RNAcentral describes it as "Pisum sativum (pea) long non-coding RNA (PSAT_LNC033034)". The stretch from base 618 to 690 matches the Rfam family "tRNA". The record is from RNAcentral. Lineage: Eukaryota; Viridiplantae; Streptophyta; Magnoliopsida; Fabales; Fabaceae.
AUAGAAUGAAAUAUAAGGUAUUCUAGAACAUUAAAGAAUAUCUAAAGAAUAUAUAUAUAGAAAUAAUAUUCCUAUAUAAUUCUACUUUUAAUAAUUAAAAUGAUAUAUAAUAGAUAAAAUUAUAUAAAAUAAAUUUAUUUAAAUAAUAAGGAUCGGGAUAAAUACAUCUAAUAAAUAUGAAUUUUUAAUAAUAGAAAUAGAUAAAAUAUAAUAAAUAAUCGAAAUUUAAAGAAUCUAAAAUAUUCAAAAAUGGGAUUAAAAACUAAAAAAAAAAAAGAGAAUCUUACUAUAUGAAUGAAAAUUCUUGUUUUUCAAAUUAUUUUUUUAUGGAUCAAAAAAUAUUGGAUAAAUGGAUAAUAAAGAGUAUUCGAGGUAACUGGUAAUUAAAAUAAUUUUGAUUCGUAUUUUAAAAUGAUUCCGAUUUUUAUCAUAUGUUAUAUACUAGAGUAUCAAAUAAAUAUAGGAUAUUCUAUAUUUUUUUGUAUGUUUGUAUUUAUUGGAUUAUGUUAUGAUAUAGUAAUUGUGUUCUGAAGAGCUAAUAUGAAAUAGUUAAUAACUAGGAAGGAUCCCAGUAGUUAGGAAAGAAUUCUGAGAAAUGAACAAUUUGUGUUCUGAGAGCCCGCUUAGCUCAGAGGUUAGAGCAUCGCAUUUGUAAUGCGAUGGUCAUCGGUUCGAUUCCGAUAGCCGGCUUUUUUCUCUAUACUGAGAAAUGAACAAUUUGUGUUCUGAGAGCCCGCUUAGCUCAGAGGUUAGAGCAUCGCAUUUGUAAUGCGAUGGUCAUCGGUUCGAUUCCGAUAGCCGGCUUUUUUCUCUAUUUUUUUUUUUUUUCGCAUAAGGGAUAAUCAGGGAUAAUCUCUUAUUAUUUUAGGAAAAUAAUAGGGAGUUCCUUUUCUGUAGAACAAAGCAAUAAAAUAACCGCCUUUUUUUAUUUAUAUAGAAAUAUAAUAGAAUUCAAUUCUGAUACUGAUAGAAUCUUUCCAAUUGUUCUUUGUACUACACUAUUUCUAAUACAAUACUUUAAUAGUACAAUACUUUAAGUAGAUUUCACUUCAUUUAUAAUAUUUGUCAUUUAGUUUAGUUUUAAUUUUCCUUUAUGAAAUUUUCCAUUUAAAAAAGGAGUGUUUAUGUCACGUUACAGGGGGCCUCGUUUCAAAAAAAUACGGCGUCUGGGGGCUUUACCAGGACUAACCAGAAAAGAGCUUCCAGUUGGAAGCGAAUAAUCGCGCUCCAGUAAAAAAUCUCAAUAUCGUAUUCGUUUAGAAGAAAAACAAAAAUUGCGUUUUCAUUAUGGUCUUACAGAACGACAAUUGCUUAAAUACGUUCGUAUCGCUGGAAAAGCGAAAGGGUACGAUAGCCGGCUUUUUUCUCUAUUUUUUUUUUUUUUCACAUAAGGGAUAAUCAGGGAUAAUCUCUUAUUAUUUUAGGAAAAUAAUAGGGAGUUCCUUUUCUGUAGAACAAAGCAAUAAAAUAACCGCAUUUUUUUAUUUAUAUAGAAAUAUAAUAGAAUUCAAUUCGGAUACUGAUAGAAUCUUUCCAAUUGUUCUUUGUACUACACUAUUUCUAAUACAAUACUUUAAUAGUACAAUACUUUAAGUAGAUUUCACAUCAUUUAUAAUAUUUGUCAUUUAGUUUAGUUUUAAUUUUUCUUUAUGAAAUUUUCCAUUUAAAAAAGGAGUGUUUAUGUCACGUUACAGGGGGCCUCGUUUCAAAAAAAUACGGCGUCUGGGGGCUUU